Molecule: non-coding RNA, 1324 nt
Organism: Camelina sativa (false flax)
Lineage: Eukaryota; Viridiplantae; Streptophyta; Magnoliopsida; Brassicales; Brassicaceae
Source: RefSeq, a predicted model, not a curated record
UUCAUUGUUUUUAGAUAAGGGCUUUCGAAUGAAUGGGUGAAUUUUUCUGAGCAGUGGAUUCGUUUGGCUGAUGAAUUGAGUAGGCUUUAACAAAAGGUUCAAAAUCGGAUUCAGGUGGAUGGCAACUAUCUAUGUAUAAAGAAAAAAGGUAAAGGGUCAAAGCAUCUAUGACUUAUUGUGUUAUGAUUUUCACAUUCUUACAAAAUCAAAACAAGUUUUUUUAAUAAGUUCGCGACGAGAGCGCCAUGAGACACGUAGGCAGUCACCGGAAUCCUCGGAGUUCAAAUUCAAAACCUCGUUCCCCAGAGAUAUCGGUGGUGAAUUUUUGUGAGCCUGAUGCUUAUGAUAUUGAAGAGUGUGUUCAGCGAUGAAGCGUAUGAAAACUGGGAAACGCUUAUGAUACGGAAAACACUCUGGAAUCCAUGACUGGGAUUGCUUACAGUCCUAGAUGUGAAACCCAGUGCAUAGAGGUCGAGGAGCAGCUUGCUUUAUGCUCCCCAAGUGCUACUUCAGUUUCUGUACGCUUUUGCAAUGGGAAGAGACACAAGUGGAUGUUGCUUGCAUGAGCCCGGAACUUAAGCUUCAAAUCUUGCAGGAGCGUCAGGGUUCUGCUCUUCUUGGAGUGGAACAAAGGCGGAAAGAGAAAGAAAUGAUCAACGAGAUUAUGAGUGUGAAUAUGAUCAUGGAAAGCGCUAAACAAUGCCCGUCUUGCAAUAUAGCCAUCUCUAAAACCGGAGGUUGUAACAGAAAUGCACUGCAAUAACUGUGGCCACUACUUUUGUUGCCGUUGCAACGAAUCUAUCAUCAGUGGUUAUGCACAUUACAGCGAGGGAACAUGCGAACUGUUUCCACAAGAGGCGAUCCAAGAAUGGAAUGAGAGGAUGAAUGAGAGACAAGUCAAUGGACAAGAUCAAGCUCUACUGUAUCCACAGCGCGGCCAAGUAUGUCCUAAUUGCCGCCAGUUCAAUGCAAAGCAAGUUACACAGUGAACUUAACUGAAUCACAGCGGCAUCAAGGCGAGUUACACGGUGAUAUUAUGGAGACGGAAAGCUGAUAAUUAGUUCAGAGCAGUUUUCAAAUUGGAACCCAAUCCUAUAAAGAAUUGGUGGACAGGGAAAUGGGUUCUCGUACUCACUUGUUAAGUUUCUGAGAGUGCACUAAGAACUUGAUUUAUAUACUUGGUACAUCACGUCAGUUAAGUACAAGGACCGUAUACAAUUAUAAGAUGUGUAUACGAUAUUAACGGGGUUUACUGAAUCAUGGAUUUGUAAAUUCAUAUAUAUAUAUAUAUAUAUAAUGAUGGUGAAAUAACAUGUUUUACCCA